UCGGGUUGUAAAGCACUUUUGUCCGGAAAGAAAACUUCUGCCCUAAUACGGCGGGAGGAUGACGGUACCGGAAGAAUAAGCACCGGCUAACUACGUGCCAGCAGCGCGGUAAUCGUAGGGUGCGAGCGUUAAUCGGAAUUACUGGGCGUAAAGCGUGCGCAGGCGGUUCGUUAAGACAGAUGUGAAAUCCCCGGGCUUAACCUGGGAACUGCAUUUGUGACUGGCGAGCUCGAGUAUGGCAGAGGGGGGUAGAAUUCCACGUGUAGCAGUGAAAUGCGUAGAGAUGUGGAGGAAUACCGAUGGCGAAGGCAGCCCCCUGGGCCAAUACUGACGCUCAUGCACGAAAGCGUGGGGAGCAAACAGGAUUAGAUACCCUGGUAGUCCACGCCCUAAACGAUGUCAACUAGUUGUUGGGGAUUCAUUUCCUUAGUAACGUAGCUAACGCGUGAAGUUGACCGCCUGGGGAGUACGGUCGCAAGAUUAAAACUCAAAGGAAUUGACGGGGACCCGCACAAGCGGUGGAUGAAGGUGGAUUAAUUCGAUGCAACGCGAAAAACCUUACCUACCCUUGACAUGGUCGGAACCCUGCUG
This 591-nucleotide ribosomal RNA is filed under the name uncultured Burkholderia sp. RNAcentral describes it as "bacterial SSU rRNA". It matches the Rfam family "Bacterial small subunit ribosomal RNA", at positions 418 to 1003 of the family's 1533-position model. The record is from RNAcentral. Lineage: Bacteria; Pseudomonadati; Pseudomonadota; Betaproteobacteria; Burkholderiales; Burkholderiaceae.